AAAACGAAUCAAUGAAACAUGAAAACUCUCAGCUGAGAUGGGCCCUCUUGUGUACGUCUAGCCACUAAUGCACAGGAUGAGAAUGCGGUCCCAAAGAAAUCUGGUACAUAAAUUUGCCGUAUUUUGUGAAGCCCAUUCUCAGCGAUGGGUACUGUUCAGCUCCAAAAAACAGAAAUGAAGAAAGACGAGGAAAGCUAAUUCAUACUAAAAACGGACAUUUUUAAGACACAGCAACUUGUAAUAUCAACAUGGGACCACACUGUUGCCUUCAUGGGGCAGCACUCAACAAGAACUGGGACAAUCGAAGAGCAAGUUUUUAUGGGGACCCUGUUGCUGCUUUAGAUUCUGAUGUAAUUGAAGAGGAUAAGAGACCCUUCAAAGAAUCCCAGAAAAAUCGCUAAUCUUCUCUCUGCAUGAAAAAAGCCAAGGAGUGAACACAGUAUCUUACAGAGUGAAGAAGGCCACAAGAACAAGAGAGGGCUAUAAAAGAACUUCCUUUUUAAAAGCUUCAGAAGAGGGGCCUUUCACAGAGGUCAGUGCAAUGAUGUAAAAGAGAAGCUACUACAGAGCAGAGAGGCAGACAGCAGGAUUCCUCUCACAAUCACUGCCACUAGCUGAUGGCUGCUGACCCCUCGCGCGUGAGGGAAACGUCCCAUGACCCAGCAGCUGGACAAAACUGGACGAGCACGUCACCAAAG
Physeter macrocephalus (sperm whale) is the source of this 698-nucleotide long non-coding RNA. RefSeq lists it as uncharacterized. The transcript is spliced from 4 exons. The record is from RefSeq and is a predicted model, not a curated record. Lineage: Eukaryota; Metazoa; Chordata; Mammalia; Artiodactyla; Physeteridae.